GGCCUGAUGGUCUAGGAGUAUGAUUCGUUGUUACUAUGUGGGGAUUGUAACCUGUAGUUGUAUCUUUCGACGAGGUCCCGGGUUCAAUUCCUGGUCAGGCUC
RNAcentral lists this transfer RNA (102 nucleotides) under Rhodocollybia butyracea. Its description in RNAcentral is "tRNA-Ser". Lineage: Eukaryota; Fungi; Basidiomycota; Agaricomycetes; Agaricales; Omphalotaceae. The record is from RNAcentral.